CUCAGAACGAACGCUGGCGGCGUGCUUAACACAUGCAAGUCUAAAGGGAAUGUUGGCUUCGGCUGACUAGUACCUUGGCGAACGGGUGAGUAACACGUGGGUAAUCUGCCCUUGAGUCUGGGAUAACCUUGCGAAAGCGAGGCUAAUACCGGAUAAGACCACGCUCUGUGCGCAGAGUGCGGUAAAAGGUGGCCUCUUCAUGAAAGCUAUCACUUGAGGAUGAGCCCGCGGCCUAUUAGCUAGUUGGUAGGGUAACGGCCUACCAAGGCGACGAUGGGUAGCCGGCCUGAGAGGGUGUACGGCCACACUGGCACUGAGACACGGGCCAGACUCCUACGGGAGGCAGCAGUGGGGAAUUUUGCGCAAUGGGGGAAACCCUGACGCAGCAACGCCGCGUGAGUGAUGAAGGCCUUCGGGUCGUAAAGCUCUUUUAGUGGGGAAGAAGCCCUGCCGGACGAAUAAUCCGGGAGGAUGACGGUACCCACAGAAAAAGUUCCGGCUAACUACGUGCCAGCAGCCGCGGUAAUACGUAGGGAGCAAGCGUUGUUCGGAAUUAUUGGGCGUAAAGAGCGCGUAGGCGGUUCGGUAAGUCUGACGUGAAAUCCCGGAGCUUAACUCCGGAACUGCGUUGGAAACUGCCGGACUUGAGUGUGGGAGAGGAGAGUGGAAUUCCCAGUGUAGAGGUGAAAUUCGUAGAUAUUGGGAGGAACACCGGUGGCGAAGGCGGCUCUCUGGACCACAACUGACGCUGAGGCGCGAAAGCUCGGGGAGCAAACGGGAUUAGAUACCCCGGUAGUCCGAGCCGUAAACGAUGGGCACUAGGUGUAGGAGGUAUCGACCCCUCCUGUGCCGCAGCUAACGCAUUAAGUGCCCCGCCUGGGGAGUACGGGUCACAGACUAAAACUCAAAG
This 910-nucleotide ribosomal RNA is filed under the name uncultured bacterium. Its description in RNAcentral is "bacterial SSU rRNA". It matches the Rfam family "Bacterial small subunit ribosomal RNA", at positions 23 to 906 of the family's 1533-position model. The record is from RNAcentral.